Molecule: ribosomal RNA, 497 nt
Filed under: uncultured bacterium
Lineage: Bacteria
Description: partial 16S ribosomal RNA
Rfam family: Bacterial small subunit ribosomal RNA
Source: RNAcentral
GAUGAACGCUGGCGGCGUGCCUAAUACAUGCAAGUCGAGCGAACAGACGAGGAGCUUGCUCCUCUGACGUUAGCGGCGGACGGGUGAGUAACACGUGGAUAACCUACCUAUAAGACUGGGAUAACUUCGGGAAACCGGAGCUAAUACCGGAUAAUAUAUUGAACCGCAUGGUUCAAUAGUGAAAGACGGUUUUGCUGUCACUUAUAGAUGGAUCCGCGCCGCAUUAGCUAGUUGGUAAGGUAACGGCUUACCAAGGCAACGAUGCGUAGCCGACCUGAGAGGGUGAUCGGCCACACUGGAACUGAGACACGGUCCAGACUCCUACGGGAGGCAGCAGUAGGGAUUCUUCCGCAAUGGGCGAAAGCUUGACGGAGCAACGCCGCGUGAGUGAUGAAGGUCUUCGGAUCGUAAAACUCUGUUAUUAGGGAAGAACAAAUGUGUAAGUAACUAUGCACGUCUUGACGGUACCUAAUCAGAAAGCCACGGCUAACUACGUG